This 945-nucleotide ribosomal RNA is filed under the name uncultured bacterium. Its description in RNAcentral is "bacterial SSU rRNA". It matches the Rfam family "Bacterial small subunit ribosomal RNA", at positions 12 to 948 of the family's 1533-position model. The record is from RNAcentral.
UUUGAUCAUGGCUYARAUUGAACGCUGGCGGAAUGCUUUACACAUGCAAGUCSAACGGCAGCMCGGACUUCGGUCUGGUGGCGAGUGGCGAACGGGUGAGUAACAUAUCGGAACGUAUCCMAUAAUGGGGGAUAACUAAUCGAAAGGUUGGCUAAUACCGCAUACSCCCUACGGGGGAAAGCUAGGGACCUUCGGGCCUGGCGUUAAUGGAGCGGCCGAUAUCUGAUUAGCUAGUUGGUGGGGUAAAGGCCCACCAAGGCGACGAUCAGUAGCUGGUCUGAGAGGACGACCAGCCACACUGGAACUGAGACACGGUCCAGACUCCUACGGGAGGCAGCAGUGGGGAAUUUUGGACAAUGGGCGCAAGCCUGAUCCAGCCAUUCCGCGUGAGUGAAGAAGGSKUUCGGGUUGUAAAGCUCUUUCGCAAGGGAAGAAAACUUAGUCUCUAACAUAGACUGAGGUUGACGGUACCUUGAUAAGAAGCACCGGCUAACUACGUGCCAGCAGCCGCGGUAAUACGUAGGGUGCGAGCGUUAAUCGGAAUUACUGGGCGUAAAGCGUGCGCAGGCGGUUUUGUAAGUCAGAUGUGAAAUCCCCGAGCUCAACUUGGGAACUGCGUUUGAAACUACMAGACUAGAAUAUGUCAGAGGGGGGUAGAAUUCCACGUGUAGCAGUGAAAUGCGUAGAGAUGUGGAGGAAUACCAAUGGCGAAGGCAGCCCCCUGGGAUAAUAUUGACGCUCAUGCACGAAAGCGUGGGGAGCAAACAGGAUUAGAUACCCUGGUAGUCCACGCCCUAAACGAUGUCUACUAGUUGUUGGUGGAGUAAAUYCCAUGAGUAACGCAGCUAACGCGUGAAGUAGACCKGCCUGGGGAGUACGGUCGCAAGACUAAAACUYAAAGGGAUUUGACGGGGGCCCKCACAAGCGGUGGARGCAUGGUGGUUU